GAUCAUGGCUCAGAUUGAACGCUGGCGGCAGGCCUAACACAUGCAAGUCGAGCGGCAUCGGGAAGGUAGCUUGCUAUCUUUGCCGGCGAGCGGCGGACGGGUGAGUAAAGUCUGGGGAUCUGCCUGAUGGAGGGGGAUAACUACUGGAAACGGUAGCUAAUACCGCAUGAUGUUACGCGACCAAAGCGGGGGACCUCCGGGCCUCGCGCCAUCAGAUGAACCCAGAUGGGAUUAGCUAGUAGGAGAGGUAAUGGCUCCCCUAGGCGACGAUCCCUAGCUGGUCUGAGAGGAUAACCAGCCACACUGGAACUGAGAGACGGUCCAGACUCCUACGGGAGGCAGCAGUGGGGAAUAUUGCACAAUGGGCGCAAGCCUGAUGCNAGCCAUGCCGCGUGUGUGAAG
RNAcentral lists this ribosomal RNA (402 nucleotides) under symbiont type-X of Acyrthosiphon pisum. RNAcentral describes it as "bacterial SSU rRNA". It matches the Rfam family "Bacterial small subunit ribosomal RNA", at positions 15 to 410 of the family's 1533-position model. The record is from RNAcentral. Lineage: Bacteria; Pseudomonadati; Pseudomonadota; Gammaproteobacteria; Enterobacterales; Enterobacteriaceae.